UGGGGAAUUUUGGACAAUGGGCGAAAGCCUGAUCCAGCAAUGCCGCGUGUGUGAAGAAGGCCUUCGGGUUGUAAAGCACUUUUGUCCGGAAAGAAAUCCUUGGCUCUAAUACAGUCGGGGGAUGACGGUACCGGAAGAAUAAGCACCGGCUAACUACGUGCCAGCAGCCGCGGUAAUACGUAGGGUGCAAGCGUUAAUCGGAAUUACUGGGCGUAAAGCGUGCGCAGGCGGUUUGCUAAGACCGAUGUGAAAUCCCCGGGCUCAACCUGGGAACUGCAUUGGUGACUGGCAGGCUAGAGUAUGGCAGAGGGGGGUAGAAUUCCACGUGUAGCAGUGAAAUGCGUAGAGAUGUGGAGGAAUACCGAUGGCGAAGGCAGCCCCCUGGGCCAAUACUGACGCUCAUGCACGAAAGCGUGGGGAGCAAACAGGAUUAGAUACCCUGGUAGUCCACGCCCUAAACGAUGUCAACUAGUUGUUGGGGACUCAUUUCCUUAGUAACGUAGCUAACGCGUGAAGUUGACCGCCUGGGGAGUACGGUCGCAAGAUUAAAACUUAAAUGAAUUGACGGGGUCAUAGCUG
RNAcentral lists this ribosomal RNA (579 nucleotides) under uncultured bacterium. RNAcentral's name for it is "partial 16S ribosomal RNA". It matches the Rfam family "Bacterial small subunit ribosomal RNA", at positions 355 to 932 of the family's 1533-position model. The record is from RNAcentral.